GAUGAAGAACGCAGCGAAAUGCGAUAAGUAAUGUGAAUUGCAGAAUUCAGUGAAUCAUCGAAUCUUUGAACGCGCAUUGCGCCCCCUGGUAUUCCGGGGGGCAUGCCUGUCCGAGCGUCAUUACAACCCUCAAGCUCAGCUUGGUAUUGGGCCCCGCCGACCCGGCGGGCCCUAAAGUCAGUGGCGGUGCCGUCCGGCUCCGAGCGUAGUAAUUCUUCUCGCUCUGGAGGUCCGGUCGUGUGCUCGCCAGCAACCCCCAAUUUUUUUCAGGUUGACCUCGGAUCAGGUAGGGAUACCCGCUGAACUUAAGCAUAUCAAUAAGCGGAGGA
RNAcentral lists this unclassified non-coding RNA (329 nucleotides) under soil metagenome. RNAcentral describes it as "partial contains 5.8S ribosomal RNA, internal transcribed spacer 2, and large subunit ribosomal RNA". The stretch from base 1 to 120 matches the Rfam family "5.8S ribosomal RNA", at positions 35 to 154 of the family's 154-position model. The record is from RNAcentral.